UGCAAGGCACAUCCUACACCCUUCAC
Molecule: non-coding RNA, 26 nt
Filed under: Homo sapiens (human)
Lineage: Eukaryota; Metazoa; Chordata; Mammalia; Primates; Hominidae
Source: RNAcentral